RNAcentral lists this long non-coding RNA (259 nucleotides) under Setaria italica (foxtail millet). RNAcentral describes it as "long non-coding RNA (SITA_LNC007173)". The record is from RNAcentral. Lineage: Eukaryota; Viridiplantae; Streptophyta; Magnoliopsida; Poales; Poaceae.
CCAACUCCCAACUUUGACACUAUGCAAAAAGAAGAUUCCCCAUCACAUCGAACUUGUGGUACAUGCAUGGAGUACUAAAUGUAGAUGAAAUUAAAAACUAAUUGCACAGUUUUGUUGUACUUUGCGAGACGAAUCUUUUGAGCCUAAUUAGUCAAUAUUUGGACAAUAAUUCACAAAUACAAACGAAACGCUACAGUGUGCUACAGUGCUGUAACAGUAAUUUGGCACCUCCCAAAUUCCCCAACUAAACAAGGCCUAA